This 1770-nucleotide ribosomal RNA is filed under the name Triticum aestivum (bread wheat). RNAcentral's name for it is "partial small subunit ribosomal RNA". Lineage: Eukaryota; Viridiplantae; Streptophyta; Magnoliopsida; Poales; Poaceae. The record is from RNAcentral.
AUGGAGGGACAAGUCCAACAAUUUGUCACUCUCCGCUUUGGUGACCUCUGGCUGGAUGUGCCAAUUGCUCCGCUUGUGGCUGCAGUUAGCAAGAGUUUGGAAACAACAGCUGCAUCCCCGGCUAAGCCAGAAGAAAAGGAAGUCUCCUCUACACUGAAGGAGGGGUUUACUCAUGUGCUCACAAAGUCAGCAAAGAGAAGGAUGCGUGCAGCUGCAAGAGCAUCUAAGGAUCAGCAUGUACGCGAAGCUUCUUCAUCUACUUCAGUUCCUCCUGGUUUCACAAAGAUGUCACCUACCAAGGUCAUGAGUCAUGAGGUACCACCAAAUGUUGUUCGCAUGACACCCGAAGAGUGGCCUGUUCUCGCAAAACGGACAGGAUCACUAAAGGUGGCAUCGCCAAGACAAUCUGCUUCAACUACAUCGACCAAAGUCGUAGUGCCCCUUACACCUUCAAAACUUAGGGUGGGCGCACGCGAAGGGUUAGGAGAAAGCUCACAUAAGAUUAUCCCAAGUAACGUAGGGGCAACACAAAGGGCUUGCUCCACGGACAAAGGAAAAGGUGUAAUGGCUGAGGACACUGAGUCUUCCUCACUUGAAGGAUCGGCUCGUCCAAGAAACCAACUUCGUGUUGAUGCACCUGAAUUUAUCCCCACCAUGGGCUAUAAUCCCAUUGAACCAUGCCUAGUGGGUGAGCCAAGCAAUAGACGCUCGCUCCAGUGGCAGGGGGUGUUUGUCACUUCAGAUGACUUCCAAGCUAGUCAUGUGGAUCCAACUGCUACAAUAUCAGAUCCUUUGUCCUCAUCGGUGCCAGCACCAAGACCAUCAUUUGAGGGUUCAAUUGAUCCAGCAUGUCGUCGUCGUCGACGACAGAGGGCUCACCGUGCAUGGCUUGAUUUCCCAGUGGCAACUGAUGCAAACAUGACCAAUCAACAACGGAAGCAAGUGGCAUAUCCCAUCAGAAAUAGAGAAAGGAAGAUCAAUGCGAGGAUUCGCGGAGGGAGCCAUGCUAGCUUCCAUGCCGUCAUGACACAGAAUGUUUGCCAAGCUUUGAAGGAAGUACUUCCAGGAUGCUCUAUCUCUGCUGAUAAUGUUGGUGACGCCAUCAUGCGGUGUGUAGAGACUCUAUCGAAGUGGCCAGAAUAUGAAGAAUUUGUGAAGGCAGAUCCACGACGACAAGAGUAUGUGAAGCAGGCUGCUCAUGCACGCAAAAAGCGGGCCGCCCUGAAACAAAGAGAGAUGGAAAUACGAGCCGAUUCGGGUUAUAGCAGAAUACAAGGAAAAGAUUCUCCAUCAACAAGCCAAGUCAGUAGAGGAAAUGGAGCAAAAGAAAUGGCAAGUACAGAAAACAAGACUACCAGAACUCUCGCUCCAUGGCCAACUCGUAAGAAGGUCUCGGGAAACUCAUUUGAAGUAUUCAACGCAAUGCCAGUUGGUGUCAAAGGGGUGACAGACAAUAGUAGUGAAACCUCCUCAGCAUCAAUACACUUCAAGAGGAAGAAGGCAUGUAAGACUGUUGUAGAAGGUCCUUGCCGCACGACAUGGAGCCAGAAGGGUUCAGAUCAUGAAGAACUUGGGUCAAGCAAUGGGGGGUCUUACAAUCCCCUAUCAGAUAGCACUCCUUGUCCUUCUGAGAAUGAGAUAGAACUUCACCAUGGUGCAGAGCAUACAGAACAAGUCCUAGCUGCGAAUGAAACUCGUCCCGUUGAGGAGCAAUUAGCCAACCUUACGGCAGCGCUUCAGCAAAAGGAAGACGAGCUAGCAGCCCUUUGA